AGUGAACGCUGGCGGUAGGCCUAACACAUGCCAGUCGAACGGCAGCACAGUAAGAGCUUGCUCUUACGGGUGGCGAGUGGCGGACGGGUGAGGAAUACAUCGGAAUCUACUUUUUCGUGGGGGAUAACGUAGGGAAACUUACGCUAAUACCGCAUACGACCUACGGGUGAAAGCAGGGGAUCUUCGGACCUUGCGCGAUUGAAUGAGCCGAUGUCGGAUUAGCUAGUUGGUGGGGUAAAGGCCCACCAAGGCGACGAUCCGUAGCUGGUCUGAGAGGAUGAUCAGCCACACUGGAACUGAGACACGGUCCAGACUCCUACGGGAGGCAGCAGUGGGGAAUAUUGGACAAUGGGCGCAAUCCUGAUCCAGCCAUACCGCGUGGGUGAAGAAGGCCUUCGGGUUGUAAAGCCCUUUUGUUGGGAAAGAAAAGCAGCAGGUUAAUACCCCGCUGUUCUGACGGUACCCAAAGAAUAAGCACCGGCUAACUUCGUG
Molecule: ribosomal RNA, 492 nt
Filed under: uncultured bacterium
Lineage: Bacteria
Description: partial 16S ribosomal RNA
Rfam family: Bacterial small subunit ribosomal RNA
Source: RNAcentral